This 3258-nucleotide long non-coding RNA is filed under the name Homo sapiens (human). RNAcentral's name for it is "HSALNT0068274". Lineage: Eukaryota; Metazoa; Chordata; Mammalia; Primates; Hominidae. The record is from RNAcentral.
UUUCGGGGACUCUGGCGUGCUCUGCGCAGGUCGGUUUCCUGGGACUCCCGCGUGCUCUGCGUUGGUCGAUUUCCGGGGCUCUCACUUGCUCCGCGUUGGUCCGUUUCCGGGGCUCUCGCUUGCUCUGCGUGGGCAUCUUCUUCUUGUCCCACCGUCAGGAUGCCGUGUGCCUGGGAGAGAGGAUUACUUUCCAGGCUGCCCCACAGAAGCGCCAUUGCCACCUUCUUCUAUCCUCCUCCGAAGGUUUAUUUGGUCUCUGUCCUUCGGGUUGGGGGGUUUCUCCAUAUUAGUUUAGUUCCGGAGCUGGCUGGACCCUCUGCGGGUUCCAGGCCCGUGUUAAGGGAAGGACAUCAGUGUGGGGACGGGGGGUACUGAGUGUGUCUGCAUGGGGCCAAGUGCUUUCUCCAGAUAAAAACCACCCUGUGCAGGCAGGCGGGACAGGUACAGUCUUUAGUCACCCCUGCCUGCCGGACGAGGCUGGAGCAUUCCAGGCCUGGUUUCUCCAGAUGACACAGCCAGGCCUGGCAGCCCGUCCUUCAGGCCGGGUGGUCUCCUGCUGGGACAUGUGCAGGGCGGUUCCUCUGCACCCCUCCAGCAGCUGGAAGCCCAUCGGCUGUCCUGGCUCUCCACUGCCCUGAGGGUGAGGGCUGAAAUUCCCCACAAGCCGGAGGAGGCCCAGGGCACAUGGUCUCUGGAUGCGAUGCCAGGUGACCUUUCUCUGCCUGGAGGCUUCUCCCCACCUCCCCCACCCCCACGCUGUCACAGGAAAUGCCCUCUUCCUCCUCCUCUAGGCUCAGCAAGGAUGUGGGGGUCCUGGGGCGGCCUGCCCAGCCCCUGCCCCUCCCUGUGACCUGCUCUGUUGCUGGGGCAUGGGGCUGAUUUGUGUAUGGGGUGUGGGUUUCCCCACUGCCCUGGGAGGCCUGUCCCCUGGAUGCAGUACAGGUUAAUCACAACAGCUGUGGACUGAGUGAGGUGCCCGGCUGCCAGGCACUCUGGCCUUGUUUGACUCACAGACAGGCUGACACCUUGGAGGUGGGUGAACUGCUCUGGUCAUACCAUUCCACAGAGGGACAGACCGAGGCUCAGAGAGGUGCAGGCACUUGCUUAAGGUUGCACAGUUGGGCAGGAGCAGAGCUGAGUGGCCUACCCCCAUGCCACACUCACUGCCUCUUUGCUGGGCGUUUGUCAUGGGGAGGUGAGGCCUUGGCACACCUUGGGCUGGGGCGGGAACACAUCCUGCCCCACCAGAGUGGGAGGCCACUCCUGGACGAAGUUCAACCCCUGGCCCUAAGUGGGAUUGGGUGGACCUUGUGCAGGUGGGAUGGGGGAGCCCCUCAGGGGAGAGACUCUGACAUUUCUGGGAGGACACUCCAGGUGGCGGGUGCUGGGGAAGCUCGGCCGCCCGAGGAGACCUAGGGGCUUGGAGGGGUUGAAUGAUGGCCCUCAAUGAUAUGAGCACAUCCCCAGCCCCAGAUCCUGCGGAUGCGACUUUAUUUGGAAAAGCCAUCUCUGCAGCUGCUAUAAAGUGAAGGAUCUUGAGGUAAGGCCAUCGUGGAUGGGCCCGAAAUCCAGGGACAUGUUCCUUAUCAGAAACGAGGGGAGACGCACACAGGGACGGAGGCCAUGUGGAGACAGCGACAGAAGCUGGAAGAGGCAGGAAGAGGAAGGAGCCUCCCGCGGAGCCCCCAGGGGCAGCACCGUCAGGCCGACACCUUGAUCUGGGACUUCGGCCUCCAGAACAGGGAGAGAAAACAUUCCUGUUGUUUGAGUUCCCAGUUUGUGGGUCUUCGUUAAGGCAGCUCCGGGACUGGGAUCGAGGGUCAGCCCAGGCUGGGUGGGAUGCCCCAGGAUGGGCCAGGCCAAGCUGGUGGGCAUCCUGUGCCCUGUGGAGUCCGACCAGGUGCCUCUCUGUGAUAUUCUGGAUGCUCCUCUGGGGUUGAUUUCCCAGAUACUCUCUCCCACCCUCUAGAGGGUCCUCGCUGAAGCUGCCUCUGUUGCUGCCACGCUUGUGCUGGGCCUGGGGGGUGCUGGGAUGGAGUGGGAAGGACGGUGCAGGCUCCCCACGUCAGAACCCUUCCUUGGUUCAGAGUAAGGUCUUGAAGGGUUGGGGCAGCAGCAUUUCCUGAAGCCUCAGGCAAAAAAGGUGAGCUUUCUAGGGCAGGAAACUUCCAGAAGUUUCUGAGGUGCCUCCACUGAGCAGGAGAUGGAUCAGGCCCUUUGGACUGUGAGCCAGAGCUUUCCUCUCCACAGAGAGUGAGGGGCUCCUGGGAACUCCAUGCCCGCAUUCUCCAAGGGUGUGUCCUUCCCUGGGAGUCCUGGGGUCUGUGGCAGUGGCGGGGGUGGGUAGGAUGAAUGAAUGUGUGGCGGGUGCAGCUGGGUGUGAAUGGUGGGCGCCAGUGGGAAUGAAUGAAUGAAUGUGUGGCGGGUGCGGUGGGAUGAAUGAAUGUGUGGCAGGCGCCAGCGGGAAGGAAUGAAUGUGUGGCAGGCGCCAGCGGGAAGGAAUGAAUGUGUGAUGGGCGCUGGUGGGAAUGAAUGAAUGAAUAUGUGAUGGGCAUGGGUGGGAGUGAAUGAAUGUGUGGUGGGCGCGGGUGGGAGUGAAUGAAUGGUGGGCGCUGGUGGGAAUGAACGAAUGAAUGUGUGGCAGGCUCGGGGGGAAGGGAUGAAUGUGGUGGGCGGGGGAGGGAAGGAAUGGAUGUGUGAUGGGUGCAGGUGGAAAUGAAUGAAUGAAUGUGUGGCAGGCGUGGGUAGGAAUGAAUGAAUGUCCACAUGGGGCAGCCCUGCCCUGCCCACCUCGCCCUGGCCGAGGAUCCCUGCCCUGUGCGGGGCCCUCACUUUCUGGUGUGUAAACCUGGUCAGCCUGGACCUGAGAAGCCCCGGAAGUUUCCUCAGCAACCCCUUGUCCCUGCCUGGCCUUUAAGCUCCUUGGUUUGCCGUCGGGGAGCCAGCGCCAGCCGCCUACGCCCGCCUCUCCCCGCACAUAGAGAAGCACGUCCCCGCGUCCCUGUCCAGCUGGUCCCUGAGGACAGCAUCAGGCGCAGCCCUUCACUCGGGUGUGGCUGAGGAUGGCGCCGCCAGGAGAUGACUCACCCCAUCAAAUGUGCGGCAUUUGUCAUUUUUCUCACCAGUUGCUAUUUUUAAAACUCUGUCCUUUGGUUUCUGUAGUAAUUUUGAGCCUCUUUUUAAUAGAACUUCCAAUGCUUUUGUGAAUCUUACACUCGUUGAAAAUGAUGGGGUUAAAAAUGUUUGUUAAACCCAAAA